AAUAGAUACCCGGGUAGUCCACGCUGUAAACGGUGGGUACUAGGUGUGGGGUCCAUUCCACGGGUUCCGCGCCGUAGCUAACGCUUUAAGUACCCCGCCUGGGAGUACGGCCGCAAGGCUAAAACUCAAAGGAAUUGACGGGGCCCCGCACAAGCGGCGGAGCAUGCGGAUUAAUUCGAUGCAACGCGUAGAACCUUACCUGGGUUUGACAUGGAUCGGGAGUGCUCAGAGAUGGGUGUGCCUCUUUUGGGGUCGGUUCACAGGUGGUGCAUGGCUGUCGUCAGCUCGUGUCGUGAGAUGUUGGGUUAAGUCCCGCAACGAGCGCAACCCUUGUUCACUGUUGCCAGCACGUUAUGGUGGGGACCCAGUGGAGACCGCCGGGGUCAACUCGGAGGAAGGUGGGGAUGACGUCAAGUCAUCAUGCCCCUUAUGUCCAGGGCUUCACGCAUGCUACAAUGGCUGGUACAGAGAGUGGCGAGCCUGUGAGGGUGAGCGAAUCUCGGAAAGCCGGUNUCAGUUCGGAUUGGGGU
RNAcentral lists this ribosomal RNA (530 nucleotides) under uncultured bacterium. RNAcentral's name for it is "bacterial SSU rRNA". It matches the Rfam family "Bacterial small subunit ribosomal RNA", at positions 777 to 1304 of the family's 1533-position model. The record is from RNAcentral.